UAUACUUUAUAAAUUUUUUAAUUUUAAAAAUUACAAAUAUAACAAAUACUUUCAAUAUUAUAUUAAAUAUAGUAAUAGAAAUAAGUAUAAUAAUAAAAAGUAAAUAUAU
Molecule: ribosomal RNA, 109 nt
Filed under: Orobdella esulcata
Lineage: Eukaryota; Metazoa; Annelida; Clitellata; Hirudinida; Orobdellidae
Description: partial 16S ribosomal RNA
Source: RNAcentral